AGCAGCCGCGGUAAUUCCAGCUCCAAUAGCGUAUAUUAAAGUUGUUGCAGUUAAAAAGCUCGUAGUUGAACUUCGGAAUUUAUUCAUUGGUCAGGCUUAACUGUCUGUACUGGUGUAUUGAAUUCCUACCUUCUGAGGAAUCAUCAUGUCAUUAACUUGGUGUGGUGGGGAAUCAGGACUGUUACUUUGAAAAAUUAGAGUGUUUAAAGCAGGCUAACGUCUGAAUACAUUAGCAUGGAAUAAUAGAAUAGGACGGUUUGGUUCUAUUUUGUUGGUUUCUAGGAUCACCGUAAUGAUUAAUAGGGAUAGUUGGGGGCAUUAGUAUUCAAUUGUCAGAGGUGAAAUUCUUGGAUUUAUUGAAGACUAACUACUGCGAAAGCAUUUGCCAAGGAUGUUUUCAUUAAUCAAGAACGAAAGUUAGGGGAUCGAAGACGAUCAGAUACCGUCGUAGUCUUAACCAUAAACUAUGCCGACUAGGGAUCGGACGAUGUUAAUUUUU
RNAcentral lists this ribosomal RNA (499 nucleotides) under uncultured Glomeromycotina. RNAcentral's name for it is "SSU rRNA". It matches the Rfam family "Eukaryotic small subunit ribosomal RNA", at positions 569 to 1071 of the family's 1831-position model. Lineage: Eukaryota; Fungi; Glomeromycota. The record is from RNAcentral.